RNAcentral lists this ribosomal RNA (702 nucleotides) under Globisporangium takayamanum. RNAcentral's name for it is "eukaryotic LSU rRNA". It matches the Rfam family "Eukaryotic large subunit ribosomal RNA", at positions 81 to 630 of the family's 3401-position model. Lineage: Eukaryota; Oomycota; Peronosporomycetes; Pythiales; Pythiaceae. The record is from RNAcentral.
UAGUAACGGCGAGUGAAGCGGGAUGAGCUCAAGCUUAAAAUCUCUGUGCAAGUUUUGCAUGGCGAAUUGUAGUCUAUAGAGGCGCUGUCAGUGCAGGCAUUUGGGGUAAGUUCCUUGGAAGAGGACAGCAUCGAGGGUGAUACUCCCGUUUGUACCCGAGUGCUUUGUGCGUACGACACGUUUUCUUUGAGUCGCGUUGUUUGGGACUGCAGCGCAAAGUAGGUGGUAAAUUCCAUCUAAAGCUAAAUAUUGGUGCGAGACCGAUAGCGAACAAGUACCGUGAGGGAAAGAUGAAAAGAACUUUGAAAAGAGAGUUAAAGAGUACCUGAAACUGCUGAAAGGGAAGCGAAUCGUAUCCAGUGUCUAUAAUCUGUGGCAUAUUUCAUUGGCGCAUGUGCGCGUGCUGUGUGUUGGAAGUGGCUUUGCUGCUCCGCGUAUGGUUCUGCGUGUGUGUGCUGGUGCCCUGUGUCAUGGUGGGACGUCAGAGUCAGUUCGUAUGCUGCGGGAAAUGGCUAUUGAGGAGGUAGGUCAGGAGCUUGCUCUUGGCUGUUAUAUCUUGGUAGUUAGUCGUCGUGGUUGGGACUGAGGUGCCUACAACGUGCUUUGAGGUCUUGCGGGUUCUUGCUUGGCGGUCUGUCUGGAUAGCUUGCUAUGCUGGUGGCGUCGUCGGGUGAUUGAGUCUGUUUGUAACCUGUGCCGUUC